UCUUUGAUGGUCUAACGGUCAUGAUUUCCGCUUGUCAUUUCACACGCGGGAGACCGGGGUUCGACUCCCCGUCAGAGAG
RNAcentral lists this transfer RNA (79 nucleotides) under Blumeria graminis f. sp. tritici. It matches the Rfam family "tRNA". From Rfam's summary of the family: Transfer RNA (tRNA) molecules are approximately 80 nucleotides in length. The record is from Rfam by way of RNAcentral. Lineage: Eukaryota; Fungi; Ascomycota; Leotiomycetes; Helotiales; Erysiphaceae. RNAcentral also lists the same sequence under 1 other name.